This 465-nucleotide ribosomal RNA is filed under the name Tissierella sp. canine oral taxon 029. Its description in RNAcentral is "bacterial SSU rRNA". It matches the Rfam family "Bacterial small subunit ribosomal RNA", at positions 9 to 456 of the family's 1533-position model. Lineage: Bacteria; Bacillati; Bacillota; Tissierellia; Tissierellales; Tissierellaceae. The record is from RNAcentral.
GAGUUUGAUCAUGGCUCAGGACAAACGCUGGCGGCGUGCUUAACACAUGCAAGUCGAACGAUGGAACGGAACGGAAAUUUUCGGAUGGAAGUUCUGUGGAUUAGUGGCGGACGGGUGAGUAAUGCAUGAAGAACCUGCCUUUCACAUAGGAAUAGCCUCGGGAAACCGGGAUUAAUACCAAAUGACACUCCGAGAUCGCAUGUUUUUGGGGUUAAAGAUUUUAUCGGUGAAAGAUGGCUUCAUGUCCCAUUAGCUGGUUGGUGAGGUAACGGCUCACCAAGGCGACGAUGGGUAGCCGGCCUGAGAGGGUGAACGGCCACAUUGGAACUGAGACACGGUCCAAACUCCUACGGGAGGCGGCAGUGGGGAAUAUUGCACAAUGGAGGAAACUCUGAUGCAGCGACGCCGCGUGAGCGAUGAAGGUCUUCGGAUCGUAAAGCUCUGUCCUAAGGGACGAUAAUGACG